Molecule: ribosomal RNA, 335 nt
Filed under: Fictibacillus fluitans
Lineage: Bacteria; Bacillati; Bacillota; Bacilli; Caryophanales; Fictibacillaceae
Description: partial 23S ribosomal RNA
Rfam family: Bacterial large subunit ribosomal RNA
Source: RNAcentral
AGGUACAGUGGUAGGGGAGCGUUCGAAGUGCCGUGAAGUCAGACCGGAAGGACUGGUGGAGCGCUUUGAAGUGAGAAUGCCGGUAUGAGUAGCGAAAGACAAGUGAGAAUCUUGUCCAUCGAAAGCCUAAGGUUUCCUGAGGAAGGCUCGUCCGCUCAGGGUUAGUCGGGACCUAAGCCGAGGCCGAAAGGCGUAGGCGAUGGCCAACAGGUUGAAAUUCCUGUACCACCUCCUUUCCGUUUGAACGACGGGGGGACGCAGGAAGGUAGGGAGAGCGCGCGAAUGGAAAUGCGCGUCUAAGCAGUUAGGCUGAUUGUGAGGCAAAUCCCGCAAUC